This 509-nucleotide ribosomal RNA is filed under the name uncultured Chloroflexota bacterium. RNAcentral describes it as "bacterial SSU rRNA". It matches the Rfam family "Bacterial small subunit ribosomal RNA", at positions 230 to 755 of the family's 1533-position model. Lineage: Bacteria; Bacillati; Chloroflexota. The record is from RNAcentral.
CCUGCGUCCCAUCAGCUAGUUGGUAGGGUAAUGGCCUACCAAGGCAAAGACGGGUAGGGGGCGUGAGAGCGUGGCCCCCCACACUGGUACUGAAACACGGACCAGAUACCUACGGGUAGCAGCAGCAAGGAAUAUUGCGCAAUGGGCGAAAGCCUGACGCAGCAACGCCGCGUGGAGGAUGAAGGCCUUCGGGUUGUAAACUCCUUUUCUGGGGGAAGAGAAAGGACGGUAUCCCAGGAAUAAGGCCCGGCUAACUACGUGCCAGCAGCCGCGGUAAAACGUAGGGGUCAAGCGUUAUCCGGAUUUACUGGGCGUAAAGCGCAUGUAGGCGGUUGCUUAAGUCGGACGUGAAAGCUCCUGGCUCAACUAGGAGAGGCCGUUCGAAACUAGGUAACUCGAGGAUGGUAGAGGAGAGUGGAAUUCCCGGUGUAGUGGUGAAAUGCGUAGAUAUCGGGAGGAACACCAGUGGCGAAGGCGGCUCUCUGGGCCAUUCCUGACGCUGAGAUGCG